CCAUGAAGAUGAACGCACACGCCCAUGCUGACAGCGCGGCCCGCCAGGCCUCGGGCAUGACGUCGCGUGCUCGCCGACCGGAAUCCUGCACCUAGCUGGGUACCCCGGACGUCUUCGCCUGUCUU
This 125-nucleotide small RNA is filed under the name Pseudoxanthomonas indica. Lineage: Bacteria; Pseudomonadati; Pseudomonadota; Gammaproteobacteria; Lysobacterales; Lysobacteraceae. The record is from RNAcentral.